This 48-nucleotide non-coding RNA is filed under the name Trichobilharzia regenti. Lineage: Eukaryota; Metazoa; Platyhelminthes; Trematoda; Strigeidida; Schistosomatidae. The record is from RNAcentral.
UUUUAGCUGACGAGUCCCAAAUAGGACGAAAUGCGCUUUAUCCUGGAU